UACGGGGGGAGCAAGCGUUGUUCGGAUUUACUGGGCGUAAAGGGCGCGUAGGCGGCCAGCACAGGUCAGUUGUGAAAUCUCCGAGCUUAACUCGGAAAGGUCAACUGAUACUGUGCGGCUAGAGUGCGGAAGGGGCAACUGGAAUUCUCGGUGUAGCGGUGAAAUGCGUAGAUAUCGAGAGGAACACCUGCGGCGAAGGCGGGUUGCUGGGCUGACACUGACGCUGACAGCGCGAAAGCUAGGGGAGCGAACGGG
RNAcentral lists this ribosomal RNA (255 nucleotides) under uncultured bacterium. Its description in RNAcentral is "partial 16S ribosomal RNA". It matches the Rfam family "Bacterial small subunit ribosomal RNA", at positions 524 to 776 of the family's 1533-position model. The record is from RNAcentral.